RNAcentral lists this unclassified non-coding RNA (236 nucleotides) under Basidiomycota sp. RNAcentral's name for it is "partial contains small subunit ribosomal RNA, internal transcribed spacer 1, and 5.8S ribosomal RNA". The stretch from base 1 to 47 matches the Rfam family "Eukaryotic small subunit ribosomal RNA", at positions 1785 to 1831 of the family's 1831-position model. The record is from RNAcentral. Lineage: Eukaryota; Fungi; Basidiomycota.
AAAGUCGUAACAAGGUUUCCGUAGGUGAACCUGCGGAAGGAUCAUUAUUGAAUCCUCAAGGAUGUUGCUGGCCUCUCAGGAGGCAUGUGCACUCCGCCUUUCAAUUCACCUGUGAACUUAUUGUAGGCCCGAGUGGUCUAUGUUUUUACACACACACAAAAGUCUAUAGAAUGUCUAAUAGUAGGCCUUAUGGUCGAAACUUAAUACAACUUUCAACAAUGGAUCUCUUGGUUCUC